Lophiostoma macrostomum CBS 122681 is the source of this 87-nucleotide non-coding RNA. The record is from the annotation of a GenBank genome assembly. NCBI's taxonomy places the organism in Eukaryota, Fungi, Ascomycota, Dothideomycetes, Pleosporales, Lophiostomataceae.
UCCGUUGUAGUCCAGUGGUUAGGAUGUCUGGCUUUCAGCUCACGCGGGAGUGCCCAGGAGACCCGAGAUCAAUCCUCGGCAACGGAA